Peromyscus maniculatus bairdii (prairie deer mouse) is the source of this 70-nucleotide small nucleolar RNA. The record is from Ensembl. NCBI's taxonomy places the organism in Eukaryota, Metazoa, Chordata, Mammalia, Rodentia, Cricetidae.
AAGAUCGAUGAUGACCACUGGUGGCCUAUGAUUCUUGGAUUGUGACUACCUCUGGAAGUCAGAGGUCCGU